RNAcentral lists this ribosomal RNA (506 nucleotides) under uncultured Glomus. Its description in RNAcentral is "SSU rRNA". It matches the Rfam family "Eukaryotic small subunit ribosomal RNA", at positions 569 to 1078 of the family's 1831-position model. Lineage: Eukaryota; Fungi; Glomeromycota; Glomeromycetes; Glomerales; Glomeraceae. The record is from RNAcentral.
AGCAGCCGCGGUAAUUCCAGCUCCAAUAGCGUAUAUUAAAGUUGUUGCAGUUAAAAAGCUCGUAGUUGAAUUUCGGGGUCAAUAAGUUGGUCAUGCCAAUGGUAUGCACUGGCUUUAUUGAUUCCUACCUCUUGACGAACUGUGAUGCCAUUAAUUUGGUGUUGCAAGGAAUCAGGACUGUUACCUUGAAAAAUUAGAGUGUUUAAAGCAAGCUUACGCUUGAAUACAUUAGCAUGGAAUAAUGAAAUAGGACGUUUGAUCCUAUUUUGUUGGUUUCUAGGAUCGACGUAAUGAUUAAUAGGGAUAGUUGGGGGCAUUAGUAUUCAAUUGUCAGAGGUGAAAUUCUUGGAUUUAUUGAAGACUAACUACUGCGAAAGCAUUUGCCAAGGAUGUUUUCAUUAAUCAAGAACGAAAGUUAGGGGAUCGAAGACGAUCAGAUACCGUCGUAGUCUUAACCAUAAACUAUGCCGACUAGGGAUCGGAUGAUGUUAAUUUUUAAUGACUCU